CCUACGGGUGGCAGCAGUGAGGAAUAUUGGUCAAUGGGCGUAAGCCUGAACCAGCCAAGUAGCGUGAGGGAUGAAGGCCCUAUGGGUUGUAAACUUCUUUUAUAAGGGAAUAAAGUGAGGGACGUGUCCCUUUUUGUAUGUACUUUAUGAAUAAGGAUCGGCUAACUCCGUGCCAGCAGCCGCGGUAAUACGGAGGAUCCGAGCGUUAUCCGGAUUUAUUGGGUUUAAAGGGAGCGUAGGUGGGUUUUUAAGUCAGUUGUGAAAGUUUGUGGCUCAACCAUAAAAUUGCCUUUGAUACUGGAAGGCUUGAGUAUAUUUGAGGCAGGCGAAAUUCGUGGUGUAGCGGUGAAAUGCUUAGAUAUCACGAAGAACCCCGAUUGCGAAGGCAGCCUGCCAAGC
This 399-nucleotide ribosomal RNA is filed under the name uncultured bacterium. RNAcentral describes it as "partial 16S ribosomal RNA". It matches the Rfam family "Bacterial small subunit ribosomal RNA", at positions 338 to 734 of the family's 1533-position model. The record is from RNAcentral.